RNAcentral lists this ribosomal RNA (492 nucleotides) under uncultured bacterium. RNAcentral describes it as "partial 16S ribosomal RNA". It matches the Rfam family "Bacterial small subunit ribosomal RNA", at positions 29 to 507 of the family's 1533-position model. The record is from RNAcentral.
AGUGAACGCUGGCGGUAGGCCUAACACAUGCAAGUCGAACGGCAGCACAGUAAGAGCUUGCUCUUACGGGUGGCGAGUGGCGGACGGGUGAGGAAUACAUCGGAAUCUACUUUUGCGUGGGGGCUAACGUAGGGAAACUUACGCUAAUCCCGCAUACGACCUACGGGUGAAAUCAGGGGAUCUUCGGACCUUGCGCGAUUGAAUGAGCCGAUGUCGGAUUAGCGAGUUGGCGGGGUAAAGGCCCACCAAGGCGACGAUCCGUAGCUGGUCUGAGAGGAUGAUCAGCCACACUGGAACUGAGACAAGGUCCAGACUCCUACGGGAGGCAGCAGUGGGGAAUAUUGGACAAUGGGCGCAAGCCUGAUCCAGCCAUACCGCGUGGGUGAAGAAGGCCUUCGGGUUGUAAAGCCCUUUUGUUGGGAAAGAAAAGCAGCAGGUUAAUACCCCGCUGUUCUGACGGUACCCAAAGAAUAAGCACCGGCUAACUUCGUG